This 465-nucleotide ribosomal RNA is filed under the name Vreelandella stevensii. RNAcentral's name for it is "partial 16S ribosomal RNA". It matches the Rfam family "Bacterial small subunit ribosomal RNA", at positions 338 to 795 of the family's 1533-position model. Lineage: Bacteria; Pseudomonadati; Pseudomonadota; Gammaproteobacteria; Oceanospirillales; Halomonadaceae. The record is from RNAcentral.
CCUACGGGGGGCAGCAGUGGGGAAUAUUGGACAAUGGGGGGAACCCUGAUCCAGCCAUGCCGCGUGUGUGAAGAAGGCCCUCGGGUUGUAAAGCACUUUCAGUGAGGAAGAACGCCUGGUGGUUAAUACCCAUCAGGAAAGACAUCACUCACAGAAGAAGCACCGGCUAACUCCGUGCCAGCAGCCGCGGUAAUACGGAGGGUGCGAGCGUUAAUCGGAAUUACUGGGCGUAAAGCGCGCGUAGGUGGCUUGAUAAGCCGGUUGUGAAAGCCCCGGGCUCAACCUGGGAACGGCAUCCGGAACUGUCAAGCUAGAGUGCAGGAGAGGAAGGUAGAAUUCCCGGUGUAGCGGUGAAAUGCGUAGCGAUCGGGAGGAAUACCAGUGGCGAAGGAGGCCUUCUGGACUGACACUGACACUGAGGUGCGAAAGCGUGGGUAGCACACAGGAUUAGAUACACUUGUAGUA